UGCAAGUCGAGCGAACCGAUGGAGUGCUUGCAUUCCUGAGGUUAGCGGCGGACGGGUGAGUAACACGUAGGCAACCUGCCUGUACGACCGGGAUAACUCCGGGAAACCGGAGCUAAUACCGGAUAGGAUGCCGAACCGCAUGGUUCGGCAUGGAAAGGCCUUUGAGCCGCGUACAGAUGGGCCUGCGGCGCAUUAGCUAGUUGGUGGGGUAACGGCCUACCAAGGCGACGAUGCGUAGCCGACCUGAGAGGGUGAACGGCCACACUGGGACUGAGACACGGCCCAGACUCCUACGGGAGGCAGCAGUAGGGAAUCUUCCGCAAUGGACGAAAGUCUGACGGAGCAACGCCGCGUGAGUGAGGAAGGUCUUCGGAUCGUAAAACUCUGUUGUCAGGGAAGAACCGCCGGGAUGACCUCCCGGUCUGACGGUACCUGACGAGAAAGCCCCGGCUAACUACGUGCCAGCAGCCGCGGUAAUACGUAGGGGGCAAGCGUUGUCCGGAAUUAUUGGGCGUAAAGCGCGCGCAGGCGGCUUCUUAAGUCAGGUGUGAAAGCCCACGGCUCAACCGUGGAGGGCCAUCUGAAACUGGGGAGCUUGAGUGCAGGAGAGGAGAGCGGAAUUCCACGUGUAGCGGUGAAAUGCGUAGAGAUGUGGAGGAACACCAGUGGCGAAGGCGGCUCUCUGGCCUGUAACUGACGCUGAGGCGCGAAAGCGUGGGGAGCAAACAGGAUUAGAUACCCUGGUAGUCCACGCCG
This 756-nucleotide ribosomal RNA is filed under the name Aneurinibacillus sp. Its description in RNAcentral is "bacterial SSU rRNA". It matches the Rfam family "Bacterial small subunit ribosomal RNA", at positions 56 to 802 of the family's 1533-position model. Lineage: Bacteria; Bacillati; Bacillota; Bacilli; Caryophanales; Paenibacillaceae. The record is from RNAcentral.